This 433-nucleotide ribosomal RNA is filed under the name uncultured bacterium. Its description in RNAcentral is "partial 16S ribosomal RNA". It matches the Rfam family "Bacterial small subunit ribosomal RNA", at positions 29 to 507 of the family's 1533-position model. The record is from RNAcentral.
AACGAACGCUGGCGGCAUGCCUAACACAUGCAAGUCGAACGAGACCUUCGGGUCUAGUGGCGCACGGGUGCGUAACGCGUGGGAACCUGCCCUUAGGUUCGGAAUAACUCCCCGAAAGGGGUGCUAAUACCGGAUAAUGUCUUCGGACCAAAGAUUUAUCGCCUUUGGAUGGGCCCGCGUUGGAUUAGCUAGUUGGUAGGGUAAAAGCAUACCAAGGCGACGAUCCAUAGCUGGUCUGAGAGGAUGAUCAGCCACACUGGGACUGAGACACGGCCCAGACUCCUACGGGAGGCAGCAGUGGGGAAUAUUGGACAAUGGGCGAAAGCCUGAUACAGCAAUGCCGCGUGAGUGAUGAAGGCCUUAGGGUUGUAAAGCUCUUUUACCCGGGAUGAUAAUGACAGUACCGGGAGAAUAAGCUCCGGCUAACUCCGUG